This is a non-coding RNA of Acanthosepion pharaonis, 113 nucleotides long. NCBI's taxonomy places the organism in Eukaryota, Metazoa, Mollusca, Cephalopoda, Sepiida, Sepiidae. The record is from the annotation of a GenBank genome assembly.
AUACGGUCAUAUCACGUUGAAACACUGCUUCAGGUACGAACACCGAAGUUAAGUAACAUUGGGCCUGGUCAGUAUCUGGAUGGGUGACCGCUUUGGAACUCCAGGUGCUGUAA